AUGAUUGAGCUGGAUCUACUAAUUGAAUUCCUACUAAUUUACAGCAUUUAUAUAAAUGAGGCACAAAUCUCUCCCAUCCAGGGCUGUGUUGGUGCUAACUUUUAUCCCCAGCUCAGUACAAAGCUGGCUCCCAACCUCCAAUGUAGUUCUAGGGUAGAGACCCAGCAGGCUAGCAGCAUUCAUAAAUCUGGAUCCAUACAGCAAGACUCGUGCUUACUGGAAUGGGCUAAAGUGUCUUUGCAAGGCUACAGCAGAGUGGAACUGAAGAGCACCUGUGUCCCAGCACUUUUCAUUCUCCAUCAUCCCCUAGAAUUUGAAUAUAACUGGACUGAAGUUACAAGGAAGAAUUGGAUGGAGCCAGUAGGGUUAACACUGAUACUAACAGGAGAUUACUAGCCAUAAGAAAAUUACAGCUCUUCUGAAAGACAGUGCCUAAAAUAGCAGCAUAUCCUUGGCACCAUCAUAGGAACUGGUUAACUGAUGACCCUGAAGAAACACUUGUUUCCAUUAAUUCUGCUGUCAUUAUUUCGCUAUUCUCGACUCUUGCUCUCAAUUCUUCUGUCCUUCUGAUCCCAAGACAAGAUGGCAGGAACGUGAGAGAGAACAUAAAGAAAUUACAGUAAGCUGUCGGCCAUAUAAUUGUAUUGUAACCUACUACACUGAGAAGUUACACCAACAGAAAUUUGGCAAGGUAUUGGCUGCUAGUUGCUAACUAAACACAGGACACUCACUAGCAUAACAUUUAAAAAAAAUAAAAUAUAAAAUAAAAAAAAUAGGCUCA
Molecule: long non-coding RNA, 781 nt
Filed under: Anser cygnoides (Swan goose)
Lineage: Eukaryota; Metazoa; Chordata; Aves; Anseriformes; Anatidae
Description: lncRNA (ENSACDG00005018410.1)
Source: RNAcentral